UUAGGCGAACGGGUGAGUAACGCGUGAGUAACCUGCCCUGGAGUGGGGGGACAACAGUUGGAAACGACUGCUAAUACCGCAUAAGCCCACGAUCCGGCAUCGGAUUGAGGGAAAAGGAUUUAUUCGCUUCAGGAUGGACUCGCGUCCAAUUAGCUGGUUGGUGAGGUAACGGCCCACCAAGGCGACGAUUGGUAGCCGGACUGAGAGGUUGAACGGCCACAUUGGGACUGAGACACGGCCCAG
RNAcentral lists this ribosomal RNA (243 nucleotides) under uncultured bacterium. Its description in RNAcentral is "partial 16S ribosomal RNA". It matches the Rfam family "Bacterial small subunit ribosomal RNA", at positions 94 to 334 of the family's 1533-position model. The record is from RNAcentral.